Long non-coding RNA from Hippocampus zosterae (dwarf seahorse), 3052 nucleotides. RefSeq lists it as uncharacterized. Lineage: Eukaryota; Metazoa; Chordata; Actinopteri; Syngnathiformes; Syngnathidae. The record is from RefSeq and is a predicted model, not a curated record. The transcript has 2 exons.
AUUCCUCCGCUAGCUAAGUGGUGAUGAUUCUGUUUUCAGCUUGUUUAGUAGUGCAUGCUCAACAAUGACGAGUAGUCGUUUGCUACCUGCCACGACGAGCUCAGGGGCCGCCGUGUAAAACAGAAUGUCAAGUCAACGUGUCAGUGAGUGGUCUCGCUUUCCAUGCUCUGUCCAUCUGUUCAUUCCGGCUCCUAGUUGGACCCAGCAUAUCAAGAGUACAAGUACAAAUUUACUCGAGACAAAUUCGUAAAUAUUUACUCCAACAAAAUGGCCAGGUGAACUAAAACAUGUCUGGUUGGUUUGCUCAUCAUGUGGAUGCAUGCCCAACACUCUUAUCUUGAUCUCAAUGCCAGCAGACUGUAAUUAAAAUUGCUACCAAAUGAUUGUAUUAAUUGAAAAUGAUCACUUACUCUGUAUCAGCCUGAUCUGAUGACUUUUCUUAAAAUGCUAAAAUGCAACCGGUUGAGGUCUUCUUUGAAUAGCAUCUGUGGAUUCUGCGGAUUGCUUGUGCUUCAUCUUUUGUGUUUCUAAUUUGACGAUGUCCAAAUUGAAGAAAAUACUUGAGACAGAAGUGAGAAAUAUCAUGAACACAUAUUUGAGACUUAUACACACACACACACACACACACUACUGUAUAGUCUAUGGAGAAUAGAGCCAACGCAGGAAUGUGCCAUACUGGAUGGUUGUCCUCACCAGAAACUGACUACAAACAUGCUGCCCCAAGCUUGGAGUUUUCAUUGUCACAUUGAAUUUCUAUCUGAUGUCAGCCGUGAAACUAUGUGAUUGACCUAUAAUAUGUAGUUAGUGAAGAAGGGGGAUUUGUUUUGGGAGCAUGCUAAAGAUUAGUUCCACGUUCUUGUCACACAGAAUAGAGAACUUUUUGUAUUCUCACUAAUGACCAACAUUAAUGAAAUGCCAACUCUGGUUACUUUAGAGUUUAAAAAAAUUAAAAAAUAAUUAAAACUAUAGAAUUUGUGCUCACUUUGCACGACACGGUACGGGUUUGUAAUUCAUUUAUGAUUCACUGUUAUGAUCUGGCUUUUCCUUAUAAAGUUAUUUGAAUGUCAGCAUUUGCAAUGUCCAUCAAAGACUCUUUUAAGGGGUUAUAGUGCAUUUUGUUGCGCCUCAAAGCAAAUGAACUCAAUUUAUGACCAUGUCAGUUGGUAGAAACAAACAGUGUUGUGAACAGCAUGAUUCCGAAUGAAACAAUGGAGCCUUUGAAACUGAACAAAUGUGGAUUACACUCUUGUAAUUAUUUUUCAUUCGUGCUGCUCUAUGCUUUCUUUGGCAAGCGCUUGUGUGUGUGUGGCCCCGCAUCAUCCAGCUUGAUUCAGACAUACACACACACACAAGACAUACACACGCUCUUUGGUGUAGAGGUAUACACAUUUCCUAUCAAAUAAUUAUCUGGAUCAUGCAAUGUCAUCAAAGCGUUUCAUUUGUUUAAAAACAGAAUAUCGGCAAUGCAUUAACACCACGCUGUAAAAAAAUAGCUUGUGUAGUUUUGAUAGAUAAACAAUAGAAAAUCUUAAUGAUAAAAAAAAAAAACAAUGGCAAGAUAAACUUUCCUAUGUGUGUAAAUUUUAAUAUGAUGCUAAUUUUAUUCAUGGUGUACGCUGUCUCAAUUUCCUCACUCAUUUAUUUCAUCAGUUUGAAAUCUGGGCCAGUUCACUUGAACACAAAGCUGUUAUUCUCGUGUAUGAAUGGCGACAGGUGGAUGAUGUCUAUAUAUGUCGCUGGCAUAGAAAGAUGAUGCAUAAUUUGAAGUCAAUCCAUCAUUUUCAUGACACAGUGGGUUUGGAAUCGCCGGUAUAGAUGAUGAGCGCUUCUCCUGAUUAAAGCGCUGUACAAUUGAAGUAUUGCUAAUUUGCUGAAGAGACAACACCCAGAGGUCACCAAUGAGAAGGUGGGUCACCUUUGUUUGAUCCCCGGCUCCGGUAUCAACUUCACCCAUCGUCCGUCUCCGUUCGUCACGUUCUCCUUCCGUAGCACUGCGUCCUCGAUCCUUUUUCUCAAUGUACAUGACUCCUCACGCAAUUAUCUGCCUCUCAUGAAGUGCUAAUCUUUAUGGUUAUCCUGACAUGGACCAUCCAAUCACAGACAGGUGGCCAUUGAUUAAUCCACCAAUACUAGUGCCCCCUUGAGAAAUUAGCUCAAGCACUGCCGCGCAUCACAGAAAAAGCACACACUCAAUAUACAGAGACGAGCGGAAGGACAGGCUGGCUGCAGCCAUGUCGAAGCAUUAGAUCUUAAUAAUAAAGGAGACAAACACAUCGAAAAGAGAAAUGCCCUGUCAUAUAACAUGCAGAAUUGCUUAUUACUAUGCUGACAUAAUCACAUUUCCGGUUGCGAUCAAAGGCUUUUAAACUUGUCAGCCUCUGGAAUUAGCAUUGUGAGCAGGUAUACGCAAGCUCACACGCGCACACACACACUUAAAUACAAUCUACGCUGGCACAGACAAAGACAGAAGGCUGCAUGCUAAACAACAUGCCUUUUCUAUUAAAUCAGGCAGCAAUGAGAUGACAUGUUAUCCAUUCCAAACACAAUCUGGGGCUCAGCUUCAAUCUUUUCUCAAGCCAGGACAUUUUAUAACGUACCCACUACCAACCUGGAUGAACAAGUGUGUGAGACGGUUCUAAAAUGAGAACCCUCUUGUCCUGCUCCUCAGGAAAUGAAACUGACAUUACUCAUCUAUCAAGACCACUAUCCCUCCUCUCAUCUCUCUCCUCUUUUCUUUGGCUUUACUUAUUGUCCCAUCAUGUAGCCAUCCCUUUUACUUGUCCCUACUCGCUCGUUCCCUUUUCCAUUGAAUUAGAAGAUUAUCUUUGCAUAUUCACGGUGUUCCACUGGUUACCGCAGCAUCCUCAUAGUGCAGAGGCCAAAAGUUUGCAUGUUCUUCCCGUGCCUGCGUGGGUUUUCUUUGGGUACUCCGGUUUCCUUACAUAUUCCAAUAGCAUGAAUGGUUGAUUGAUUAGACACUCUAAAAGGUCCCUCGAUGUGACUGUGAGUACGAAUGGUUGUUUGAUUAUGUUUGUCGUGCGAUUGGCUAACC